GACAGAGGCCUCAAGCGUUAGGCGGAAUUACUGGGCGUAAAGCGUGCGCAGGCGGUGAUGUAAGACCGAUGUGAAAUCCCCGGGCUUAACCUGGGAACUGCAUUGGUGACUGCAUUGCUGGAGUAUGGCAGAGGGGGGUGGAAUUCCACGUGUAGCAGUGAAAUGCGUAGAGAUGUGGAGGAAUACCGAUGGCGAAGGCAGCCCCCUGGGUCAAUACUGACGCUCAUGCACGAAAGCGUGGGGAGCAAACAGG
This 253-nucleotide ribosomal RNA is filed under the name uncultured bacterium. Its description in RNAcentral is "partial 16S ribosomal RNA". It matches the Rfam family "Bacterial small subunit ribosomal RNA", at positions 524 to 776 of the family's 1533-position model. The record is from RNAcentral.